RNAcentral lists this ribosomal RNA (468 nucleotides) under uncultured bacterium. RNAcentral describes it as "partial 16S ribosomal RNA". It matches the Rfam family "Bacterial small subunit ribosomal RNA", at positions 28 to 507 of the family's 1533-position model. The record is from RNAcentral.
GACGAACGCUGGCGGCGUGCUUAACACAUGCAAGUCGAACGGAAAGGCCCUGCUUUUGUGGGGUGCUCGAGUGGCGAACGGGUGAGUAACACGUGAGUAACCUGUCCUUGACUUUGGGAUAACUUCAGGAAACUGGGGCUAAUACCGGAUAGGAGCUACUGCUGCAUGGUGGGGGUUGGAAAGAUUCGGCGGUUGGGGAUGGACUCGCGGCUUAUCAGCUUGUUGGUGGGGUAGGGGCUUACCAAGGCUUUGACGGGUAGCCCGCCUUGGAGGGUGGCCGGCGUCCAUGGUCCUGCGGUACGGCCCAGUCUCCUACGUGAGGCAGCGGGCGGGAACCUUGCACAAUGGGCCGAAGCCUGAGGUAGCAACCCCGCGUUCGUGAUGCUCUGUUUCGGGUUGUAAACCGCUUUCUCCUUUGCCGAAGCCUGCGUGACGGUAAUGGGUAAAGAAGCCCCGGCUAACUACGUG